UGGGGAAUUAUUGCACCAAUGGGGGGGAACCCUGAUGCAGCCAUGCCGCGUGAAUGAAGAAGGCCUUCGGGUUGUAAAGUUCUUUCGGUGACGAGGAAGGUUGAUAGGUUAAUAGCCUAUCAAAUUGACGUUAAUCACAGAAGAAGCACCGGCUAACUCCGUGCCAGCAGCCGCGGUAAUACGGGGGGUGCGAGCGUUAAUCGGAAUAACUGGGCGUAAAGGGCACGCAGGCGGUGACCUAAGUGAGAUGUGAAAGCCCCGAGCUUUACCUUGGGAAAUUGCAUUUUCAUACUGGGUCGCUAGAGUACUUUAGGGGGGGGGGGGGAAUUCCCNNGUGNGGGNAAAUCGUAGAGAUGUGGAGGAAUUCCGAAGGCGAAGGCAGCCCCUUGGGAAAGUACUGACGNUCAUGUGCGAAAGCGUGGGAGCAAACAGGAUUAGAUACCCUGGUAGUCCACGCUGUAAACGAUGUCGAUUUGGGGAUUGGGCUUUGAGCUUGGUGCCCGUAGCUAACGUGAUAAAUCGACCGCCUGGGGAGUACGGCCGCAAGGUUA
Molecule: ribosomal RNA, 551 nt
Filed under: uncultured bacterium
Lineage: Bacteria
Description: partial 16S ribosomal RNA
Rfam family: Bacterial small subunit ribosomal RNA
Source: RNAcentral